GUAUGUUGUCCAGCGGGAGGCAAAAUCACGAGCAUACUAGGGAAUAGCAUGGGGGUCGGACGGCUAGACUAGUCAGAGGGGGAGAGAGUGGGGGUGGCGUUCAAUGCAAUCGAGUAAAAUGAGUAGAGAAAUGGAGGAGGGGAAGUCAGGUAGCAAAGACACAUGCUCUGAUCAUACAGCAAGGCGGGGUGAGCAGCGAGGAAACAAAGAUAGGUUGGUAGGCCGCCCACUCAGACGAUGAAGGGUAGUUGGUGGGGAUUGGUUUCCUUAAUAAAGAAGCACGCGUAAAAAGUUAAUCGCCUGGGGAGUACGGUCGCAAGCUUAAUUCUCAAAGGAAUUGGCGGGGACCCCCACAAGCGGUAGAUGAUGUUGAUUAAUUCGAUGCAGCGCGAAAAACCUUACCUCCCCUUGACAUCCCACUAACGAAGCAGAGAUGCAUUAGGUGCUCGAAAGAGAAAGUGGACACAGGUGCUGCAUGGCUGUCGUCAGCUCGUGUCGUGAGAUGUUGGGUUAAGUCCCGCAACGAGCGCAACCCUUGUCUCUAGUUGCUACGAAAGGGCACUCUAGAGAGACUGCCGGUGACAAACCGGAGGAAGGUGGGGAUGACGUCAAGUCCUCAUGGCCCUUAUGGGUAGGGCUUCACACGUCAUACAAUGGUGCAUACAGAGGGUUGCCAAGCCGCGAGGUGGAGCUAAUCCCAGAAAAUGCAUCGUAGUCCGGAUCGUAGCCUGCAACUCGACUACGUGAAGCUGGAAUCGCUAGUAAUCGCGGAUCAGCAUGCCUGCGUUUCACCGCCCU
RNAcentral lists this ribosomal RNA (798 nucleotides) under uncultured bacterium. RNAcentral's name for it is "bacterial SSU rRNA". The stretch from base 302 to 798 matches the Rfam family "Bacterial small subunit ribosomal RNA", at positions 874 to 1374 of the family's 1533-position model. The record is from RNAcentral.